This is a long non-coding RNA of Dioscorea cayenensis subsp. rotundata (Guinea yam), 649 nucleotides long. RefSeq lists it as uncharacterized. NCBI's taxonomy places the organism in Eukaryota, Viridiplantae, Streptophyta, Magnoliopsida, Dioscoreales, Dioscoreaceae. The record is from RefSeq and is a predicted model, not a curated record. The transcript is spliced from 5 exons.
ACAAGCUCCGGUGAUAAAAGCUUCUCUACUCCACUAUUACCCCUCUUCAAGCUCUUUACGAGCUCUGGUGAGGUCUUGGGAGAAACCUUGGCAUCACUUUUCUCUAUCCCUUGUUGUUGAGCUGGUUUAGCAUCAAAGUCAAUUUCUAUCGAAAAAUCGAUUCUUCUGGAAGCUAUCAUCCUCUCAGUAUAUCAAGAUUACCAGAAGAAGGGAUCACAAUUUCUAUUUUUGAAGGGGAAGAUGAGAUAAGGCAGAUAAAUUUAGUCUUAAAAGUUCACCAUCCCUUGUUUUACUGGAAGGGGGUGGUGGAUACCAUUACUUCUUACAGUUGGAGCAGCAUUUGCUAAGAGGACAUUACAAGGAUGUGCAAUGAAAUCAUUCAAUAGCAUCAUCUUGAAAUUUCCCAAGAUUGAUGAAAGUUUUACAAAUUGCAAAACUAUUUUCAAGCAAUUUGGAGUAGACCAGAAGGUUCAAUUGUUGAAGGCUACAUUGAGAAGGAAUGAAUUACUUUUUAUUCAAGAUAUUUUGAAGGCUUUAAUACAAGGUUUUGUAAGCUGCCUCACAAUGAUGAUUUUGGAGACCCAGUCAAUGGUCACUCUAUAGGAAAAUCUACAACAUUUACAGUUGAUCCUAUUGAGUGGAAACAAGC